GAUGAACGCUGGCGGCGUGCCUAAUACAUGCAAGUCGAGCGAACAGAUGAGGAGCUUGCUCCUCUGACGUUAGCGGCGGACGGGUGAGUAACACGUGGAUAACCUACCUAUAAGACUGGGAUAACUUCGGGAAACCGGAGCUAAUACCGGAUAAUAUAUUGAACCGCAUGGUUCAAUAGUGAAAGACGGUUUUGCUGUCACUUAUAGAUGGAUCCGCGCCGCAUUAGCUAGUUGGUAAGGUAACGGCUUACCAAGGCAACGAUGCGUAGCCGAACUGAGAGGGUGAUCGGCCGCACUAGAACGGAGACACGGUCCAGACUACUACGGGAGGCAGCAGUAGGGAAUCGUCCGCAAUGGGCGAAAGCCUGACGGAGCAACGCCGCGUGAGUGAUGAAGGUCUUCGGAUCGUAAAACUCUGUUAUUAGGGAAGAACAAAUGUGUAAGUAACUAUGCACGUCUUGACGGUACCUAAUCAGAAAGCCACGGCUAACUACGUG
Molecule: ribosomal RNA, 497 nt
Filed under: uncultured bacterium
Lineage: Bacteria
Description: partial 16S ribosomal RNA
Rfam family: Bacterial small subunit ribosomal RNA
Source: RNAcentral